RNAcentral lists this ribosomal RNA (253 nucleotides) under uncultured bacterium. RNAcentral describes it as "partial 16S ribosomal RNA". It matches the Rfam family "Bacterial small subunit ribosomal RNA", at positions 524 to 776 of the family's 1533-position model. The record is from RNAcentral.
UACGAAGGGGGCUAGCGUUGUCCGGAAUCACUGGGCGUAAAGCGCACGUAGGCGGGUCCUUAAGUCGGGGGUGAAAUCCUGGAGCUCAACUCCAGAACUGCCUUCGAUACUGAGGACCUCGAGUCCGGGAGAGGUGAGUGGAACUCCGAGUGUAGAGGUGAAAUUCGUAGAUAUUCGGAAGAACACCAGUGGCGAAGGCGGCUCACUGGCCCGGUACUGACGCUGAGGUGCGAAAGCGUGGGGAGCAAACAGG